AGAAGCCACCUCCAGUUCCCAAGGUAACCAUCUGUGCUGUAAGAUAGUUUCAAUUCUUUAUAUGAGGUAUCUUUAAGGAUCAUUAUUUAAAGAGGAUCAUUAUUUAAAGAAUAUCUUAACAUACCGAUCUUGUGAAGUUCUCAUAUUGCGUUUGGGAUUAAAUGUGAUUAGAAUGUAAUAAUUGAAGAUGAAAACCAUAUGGUAAAUGUUAGUGAAGAAAUUAUCAACCCAGUUUCUAUAUUCUUGACAAUUUUAUUAAUUCUCCGUGCAUUUACUUUUUCAUCCAAUUCAUUUUUUCUCUACCUUCAAAUGUUCUGCUUCUCAUCUGCUGUAUUAAAAUUUUCUGCUUCUCAUCUGCUGUGCUUGUCUGGUUACUCAUGAAUCCCAUAUCAACAAAAAUUAUGCGCAGCUGAAGAUGUUAUCGUCUUCCUAAAGUGCAGAACACUCAUGACCUUAUAUGACCAUUUCUUAUCAAUAUUGCAUAUGUUUGCAAAUCCCAUUUAAAGAAAAAUAAAGAUCAAGUUCAAUCCUUGUUAA
Molecule: unclassified non-coding RNA, 537 nt
Filed under: Hevea brasiliensis (rubber tree)
Lineage: Eukaryota; Viridiplantae; Streptophyta; Magnoliopsida; Malpighiales; Euphorbiaceae
Source: RNAcentral